AGAGUGACAGUAGCAUUAUUCUCUUAUUUACAGUUCUUCCUUUCUCUUCAGCAGUGAAAAUGAAAAGGAAAUCAAUGCCAUUAAAGAGAAUAAUGAGAAACUCACCUCCUGCAAGGCAUGCCUCCUGAAGAGGAAGUGUUUUCCCCCACUGUCAACCUCUUUGCAUCCAUUGUAAUGCCAUACAACUGACCUAGAAGCUGAAAGAAGCACUAUACAUGCCCUGGCCCUCUCCUGGUGUGUUCCAGUUGGUCUCCAGCUAGGGCUACACUGCUUACUCAUGAUGCAACCUCUGCAGUUCCCACAGGCCUACCAUGCAUGCUCUUUUUCUGCUCUGAAAGGAAAAUAAAACAUAAAGAAGGCAAGUCACAACAACUCUC
Molecule: long non-coding RNA, 377 nt
Filed under: Junco hyemalis (dark-eyed junco)
Lineage: Eukaryota; Metazoa; Chordata; Aves; Passeriformes; Passerellidae
Description: lncRNA (ENSJHYG00000018173.1)
Source: RNAcentral